Molecule: small nucleolar RNA, 133 nt
Organism: Papio anubis (olive baboon)
Lineage: Eukaryota; Metazoa; Chordata; Mammalia; Primates; Cercopithecidae
Source: Ensembl
ACUCUCUUGGCUCUGUAUAGUUACACCUGGCUUCACUUGUGUGACUUUUGCAAUGGGAUGAGAGAAAAAAGGUCCCUUGGUACUUUUCAGCUCGGCCUUAUGGUGGCCUCUUUCCUUGAAGGGUGCAACAAAA